RNAcentral lists this ribosomal RNA (119 nucleotides) under Pteropus alecto (black flying fox). The record is from RNAcentral. Lineage: Eukaryota; Metazoa; Chordata; Mammalia; Chiroptera; Pteropodidae.
AGCUACCGCCAUGCCACCCUGAACAAGCCCGAUCCCGUCUGAUCUCGGAAGCUAAGCAGGGUCGGGCCUGGUUAGUAGUUGGAUGGGAGACCACCUAGGAACACCAGACGCUGUAGGCG